GGAGAAUAGUCUGUUCUCCUUAAGUUACCUUCAACAAAAAUGGUUAACUUUACCGUCGAUGAGAUUAGAAGAAUGAUGGACUUCACGGAGUGCAUCCGUAACAUGUCCGUCAUUGCCCACGUCGACCACGGCAAGUCCAC
Molecule: non-coding RNA, 140 nt
Filed under: Ctenophora environmental sample
Lineage: Eukaryota; Metazoa; Ctenophora
Source: RNAcentral